Molecule: microRNA, 21 nt
Filed under: Medicago truncatula (barrel medic)
Lineage: Eukaryota; Viridiplantae; Streptophyta; Magnoliopsida; Fabales; Fabaceae
Description: mtr-miR5242
Source: miRBase by way of RNAcentral
UUGUAGAAACAAGCGAUGUCA